Small nucleolar RNA from Tetrahymena thermophila SB210, 113 nucleotides. It matches the Rfam family "Tetrahymena snoRNA TtnuHACA1". NCBI's taxonomy places the organism in Eukaryota, Ciliophora, Oligohymenophorea, Hymenostomatida, Tetrahymenidae. The record is from Rfam.
AGUCAUUAACUAUAUCUCCAUAUGUUGUUAAUGCUUGCGUUAUCUAUAGUGAAACUUCUCUUAGGCUCUUAUCAUAUGUUCAUAUGUGAAAAGAUACCAAGAUAAGGACAUUU